Molecule: long non-coding RNA, 203 nt
Filed under: Lathyrus oleraceus (garden pea)
Lineage: Eukaryota; Viridiplantae; Streptophyta; Magnoliopsida; Fabales; Fabaceae
Description: Pisum sativum (pea) long non-coding RNA (PSAT_LNC013064)
Source: RNAcentral
UCGCGAGUUAUCGUCAGGUGACUGGGGUUCAAAUGGAGAGCGGGGUUCAUUAUUUGGCAAACAAGAUUACUAUGAAGAUGUCGGGGUUCAAAUGCGGUGAUCCGGGAUCAUCCGCGCGAAAGAAAAAAUUUGUUCAGGGUUCAAGAAAAGAAAAAAGAUUAUCAAUUAGAAAGUUUCGGGGUUCAAGAAAAGUAAAAAAAAAU